Molecule: long non-coding RNA, 2446 nt
Organism: Mytilus californianus (California mussel)
Lineage: Eukaryota; Metazoa; Mollusca; Bivalvia; Mytilida; Mytilidae
Exons: 4
Source: RefSeq, a predicted model, not a curated record
AAUUACUGAUAUAAUUGUUAUGCCCAUUGUUUCAAUAUUUAGUACUUUGUAAGAAUUUGUUUACACGAUAUAAAAUUGCUGAAGUGAAAGUAAAAGAUUAACACACGUGACCUUUAUUUGUAAACAAUUCGCUGAAUUAUGUAUAUAACACAGGUGAAGUUAACAAAUAGAUGCAUUAUUAAGUGUGGUUUCACACAAAUCAUUGUAAUUCGUCGUAAAAUGAUAUUCAUUUUUGCAUACAAUGAAUGAAGUUGUAUUAAAUUCAAUGAUGAGUAAAUCCUCUACUUUUUCCAAUAAUUUAACGGCGGUUUAUGGUAACAGUAAUCGGAUUCGCAUCCGUAAGAGACGACUGUGGUAUAGACAUACAGUCAUUUGGAAGUCUCCUGUCCAAGAUGCAAUAAUUAUUCAGGUAUGCAAUCCAUACUUGAAAUGUUUGAAGGCCAGUGAAAAAGAAGACCUUGGAUUAGGUAUAAUCAAAACAAACGCAAAAAGAACAGAAAACAGAUUAAAAGUGCAAGGUCGUCGAUAUUUGAUUAUAGAUGUUGAGGCUUUUAUACUCAUGUUUGGUAGUUGUGACGACACGAAAAGGACGUACGUUACGCAGAAAGAAUUCGAUUUACUACAGAGUAACAGAAAAUAUGAAUGUUUGCCUAUAUAUUAAAAUCAUUACUACAGAAACACAGUCUAUCACUGCAUCGCAUGUGAUUCAACAUUUCCCAAUGUAUGGUCAUGUAUUCCCACUGUAUGGUCAUGUAUUCCCAAUGUAUGGUCAUGUAUUUGUUUCAUUCACAUGGUCACUGAUAUGAUAUCGAUGACUAAAUGAAACCUACUGGGGUUUAUUAUUAAACAGUUUAAAUAAUAUACUUUGAUAACUUUCCAAUACUUUCAAUAACACCCAUAAUAUAAUAUAAAAUAAAUAGUUCAACGUAGAUAUCGCCAUUGAAGACAGUUUAUUGAAAUAUUGGAAUUUUUUAUAUAGUUUUGUCAAAAUUCGCGUUACAGAGCACCCAGAACCAAAAAGGAUUUUCAUCUUAAAGACAACAAAAUGCUUUCGUAGAAUUUUGGUUUUGUUUGGAAUGUCCCUUUUAUUCAGUUUUGAAAUAAAUAAUAAAAAAAUGUCAAAAUUGUUUGAUUAUGCCACGCCUACGAUAGUAGAGGGCAUUAUGUUUUCUGGUCUGUGCCGUCCGUCCGACCGAAGUUUUGUAUUGUAUCGCAGAAUAAUAUAUUUCUACAAUCAUUCAAUAUUUUAAAUAUUUAGCAAGUCUGGGGCUUUCAAAAAGUUCAAAUGAGGAACUGCUAUUGGAUGCACUGAUAGAAUCUAUAUUUAUAAAAUGAUUUUUUCAACAAUUUCCUUUCAAUAAUGACACGUAAAACUAAUUUAUCUAUUAUUUAUUUAUUUAAAUAGUUAAUUUGCACCCAACACGCAGUAGUUAGAUAAAUUAAAUCCACGUCCUGUUUCAGAAUUCUUUUUACUUGUGUAAAAUUGUGCACCAUAUUUAAUAACUGUAAUUGAUAGUACAUCCAGAUACAAUUUAAAGGUGAAGAUGAUCAAUCAUAAUCUUAUUAUUUGCACACGAAUUUUGAGAAAUGAAUGCAACAGGUUGACAAAGGUUAUUGUACUAUGAAAUCUAUGUCGUUUAAAGUCCAUCAAAUUAAUCGCCGUGUUUUUGAAAAAUAUACAACCUUGUUCAUGUGACAAUGACAUUAAACGUAAAUAAUAAAGUACCGUUGCAUGUUAUUUUAUAUUUUAUGAGACAUACAGAAAUCUAAAUGAAACUUUAUUCAAAUUCGAUUCAAUGCAAAUAGAUUGAUUGAUUGUUGGUGUUUAACGCCAUUUGAAACACACUUUUUUUUGUGUAGAUGCAUCCGGAGUAGAAUAAGAGAGCCACUGACCUUCGGUAGGAAAACUGGCAAUCCAUGCACGUUGCACCUUGCCACGAGCUGGGUUUGAACUCACAACCUCAGUGUUGACGUGCUAGUGAUCACUACAAAUGAAGUCUAUUAGACCACACGGCCACCGAAGCCCCAUGUUAUUUGACAAAAAACUGUUUUGUAAUAUAGUCAAGUUGUGAAUGAAUUAAUCAGUGACGACUAAAAAGAUGAAACGACACGAAGAGUCACUGACAAGUACUCAAAUCUUUUCAUAUUCUUCAGUGGAAGAAACAAAUAUUAAACCAUUAAAACAUACUGAUAUUAGUUAAGAAUUUUUAUAUCGGAAUACAUCUUAUCAAUAUCACGAUAAAGGAUUCUCAUAGCUAAUAAAAGCCAGUUUUAAUUAAAUAUAUUUUACAAAUCAUUUUACAGUCUUAUAUAAACCUCGGUACUUCUAAAAAGGUUUUUAUAUAACAGCAACACACAUAAUGGUAGAAAAAUACCAUGCCUUGUAAAACUCCUAAAAUAUCCCGCAUAACUUAUAAUUGCAUUAGCCAUAAUUUAGUGGUCAUCC